Molecule: long non-coding RNA, 327 nt
Organism: Labeo rohita (rohu)
Lineage: Eukaryota; Metazoa; Chordata; Actinopteri; Cypriniformes; Cyprinidae
Exons: 4
Source: RefSeq, a predicted model, not a curated record
CAGAAGACACAGAGAGAGAGAGACAUCAACACACAGAAACAAUUUCUUACCGACUGAAGAAAGAAAGACACAAACAUCUUAGAUGACAAAGGGACAGCAGAUCUUUGCAGUUCUCACGGUAAUUCAAUUUUGAAAGCAUCAUUCAGAAGUUUAGGUUGCUGAGGCUUGAACUGUGAAAAUGGCUUCAACAAAUGCUGAGAAACAAUCAUCAGGACCUGCGGUAUCAUCAUGUAAGGACGUCCUGUACAAAAGGAUCAUCCCUGGUGGACUUAAAGUUGGCAGUGUCAUCAUCAUCCAAGGGUUUAUCCCGCCUCAACCACAUAGGUU